ACCUAAAUAGUUUAUAUAAAAUAUUAAUUUGUGGGAUUGAAAAAGUAAGUAAUUACUUUAGGUA
RNAcentral lists this transfer RNA (64 nucleotides) under Bradybatus kellneri. RNAcentral's name for it is "tRNA-His". Lineage: Eukaryota; Metazoa; Arthropoda; Insecta; Coleoptera; Curculionidae. The record is from RNAcentral.